This 274-nucleotide ribosomal RNA is filed under the name uncultured bacterium. RNAcentral describes it as "partial 16S ribosomal RNA". It matches the Rfam family "Bacterial small subunit ribosomal RNA", at positions 523 to 796 of the family's 1533-position model. The record is from RNAcentral.
CUACGGAGGGUGCGAGCGUUAAUCGGAAUUACUGGGCGUAAAGCGUGCGUAGGCGGGGUGCUAAGUCAGAUGUGAAAGCCCCGGGCUUAACCUGGGAACUGCAUUUGAUACUGGCAGACUAGAGUAUGAUAGAGGGGGGUAGAAUUCCUGGUGUAGCGGUGAAAUGCGUAGAUAUCAGGAGGAAUACCAGUGGCGAAGGCGGCCCCCUGGAUCAAUACUGACGCUGAGGUACGAAAGCGUGGGGAGCGAACAGGAUUAGAUACCCCGGUAGUCC